RNAcentral lists this ribosomal RNA (894 nucleotides) under Trichocladium crispatum. Its description in RNAcentral is "LSU rRNA". It matches the Rfam family "Eukaryotic large subunit ribosomal RNA", at positions 38 to 965 of the family's 3401-position model. The record is from RNAcentral. Lineage: Eukaryota; Fungi; Ascomycota; Sordariomycetes; Sordariales; Chaetomiaceae.
GCAUAUCAAUAAGCGGAGGAAAAGAAACCAACAGGGAUUGCCCUAGUAACGGCGAGUGAAGCGGCAACAGCUCAAAUUUGAAAUCUGGCUUCGGCCCGAGUUGUAAUUUGUAGAGGAWGCUUUGGGCGCGGCUCUAUCUGAGUUCCCUGGAACGGGRCGCCACAGAGGGUGAGAGCCCCGUAUAGUURGAUGCCUAGCCURUGUAAAGCUCCUUCGACGAGUCGAGUAGUUUGGGAAUGCUGCUCWAAAUGGGAGGUAAAUUUCUUCUAAAGCUAAAUAYCGGCCAGAGACCGAUAGCGCACAAGUAGAGUGAUCGAAAGAUGAAAAGCACUUUGAAAAGAGGGUUAAAUAGCACGUGAAAUUGUUGAAAGGGAAGCGCUUGUGACCAGACUUGCGCCGGGCRGAUCAUCCGGUGUUCUCACCGGUGCACUCYGCCCGGCUCAGGCCAGCAUCGGUUCUCGUGGGGGGAUAAAGGUCCCGGGAACGUAGCUCCUCCGGGAGUGUUAUAGCCCGGGGCGUAAUGCCCUCGCGGGGACCGAGGUUCGCGCAUCUGCAAGGAUGCUGGCGUAAUGGUCAUCAGCGACCCGUCUUGAAACACGGACCAAGGAGUCAAGGUUUUGCGCGAGUGUUUGGGUGUAAAACCCGCACGCGUAAUGAAAGUGAACGUAGGUGAGAGCUUCGGCGCAUCAUCGACCGAUCCUGAUGUWUUCGGAUGGAUUUGAGUARGAGCGUUAAGCCUUGGACCCGAAAGAUGGUGAACUAUGCUUGGAUAGGGUGAAGCCAGAGGAAACUCUGGUGGAGGCUCGCAGCGGUUCUGACGUGCAAAUCGAUCGUCAAAUCUGAGCAUGGGGGCGAAAGACUAAUCGAACCAUCUAGUAGCUGGUUACCGCCGAG